This is a long non-coding RNA of Felis catus (domestic cat), 7222 nucleotides long. RefSeq lists it as uncharacterized. The record is from RefSeq and is a predicted model, not a curated record. NCBI's taxonomy places the organism in Eukaryota, Metazoa, Chordata, Mammalia, Carnivora, Felidae. The transcript is spliced from 3 exons.
CUCUCUCUCAAAAAUAAAUAAACAUUAAAAGAAUAUUUAAAGAAAGAAGAAGAAGAAACCCUGGAAAUGCACAGCAUUGUUGGAAGCUUCAGUGCCUAUGAAAAACAGGCGAAGCUGUAGUAUAUGUCUUUGUGACUUUGGGGGCUGUUUCCACCCAAAGUUAGAUUUUCAUUUUUGAUUUAAUCUCUGUGUAUAAGCCUAUCAUGAUUAUGCCAAGAUAGAGAUAUAUACAUUUAAAUUGCACUUUUUGAAAAAAAUGUAAAACUUUUGGAACAAUUUUUUUAGUCAAUUUGAGAGCAAUUUCAGCUUUGUAUAUCUCUAAAUAACAUUAAAAAUGUGGAAAAAAUAAAAAAGGAUUGGAAAAAAAUUACUGAGAUUGUAUUUGAAAUGUUAGCCUUGGUUCUUAACUUGGUCUCUAGAUGUUAGCUCAACAUGGAAAACUAACUGGCAUUUAGACAAAACAUCCUGAAGUUCUUUUGGUCCCCAGGGUUGCUGUUUCUUCCAGCUGCAUAGUAUUACUAGCAGCAUAUAAAUUGGUGUUGGUUUGUGAGAGAAUUACUUGAGUUGUUUUGCUUUUUGAAUUAGUAAAAGGAACUUUUUAAAUAUGAGUAAAGUAACUUCUAAGACAUACCUUGCAGACAGCCUGGCGUUAGAAAUGCUCAUAGCACAGAUAAACAGCCCUGGUUACUUUGUGGGGGUUCUUACUUGUCCCUUAGCUUAGCGCUCUUCUCUUGCUACUCAUAGACUGAGAGAAAUCUCAUCCUUUGAUAUCCCAGUGGCUUGAAAAUUCCAUUCCUCACAUUGUUAGUAAGGAGGCAGGAGGGUGCCAUGUUCAAGUUCACACCUGUACUAGUAGGGUAGGUGGAGAGCGCAAAAAUUAUGUCUGCCAGCAUCUCUGUCUCCGGGGAGUUUCAACUGUCCCCCGCCCCUCCACAAGAUGAUUUUAGAUUAGUAAAUGAAUCUCCUUAACAAAUAGUCUAGGCACUUUUCAAACUGCUGCUUCUUCAUUGAUUCUUGGACAAGUGAGGUGCACAAGAUUCCUUUGAAAGAGGAAUGUCAGUUUUCUAUAACAUGUUGGAUCACUCGGACAUCAGCCCCAUUAGUUUUUCAAACCACACUUUUUAGGGGUUCACCUGUCUGGUACAGAUCCCAGGGGGUGGGAUAUCCGGUGGGGGGCACCAACUUCUUGCACCGUCUUGGUGAAAUCCCUCACUAUUGUGUAUCAGGGGUAGGUUUUUUUUUUGUUUGUUUUUUGUUUUUGUUUUUGUGAUACUGGUGCUGGCUCUCCUAUCCCAUCUCUAUGUGGUUUUUAUCCUUUAUUGUGGAGAAGCAGUUCAUUUAGUUUUCAGAUAUUUUUCAAAGGGAAUUAUUCAUAUGUAGCGGUAUAUUUGGUGUGUCUGUGGGAGGAGGUGAUUUCAGGAUUUUCAUAGGCUGCCCUCUUGCAGAAGUCCAGAGUGUUAGUAUUUUAAGUCCUACAAUAAACCACAACAAUAUUUCCCAAUCACCUUAUAAACCCUGACAAACUUUUAUACUCAGGUCCUCCACAGUCUAGUCCUCCAUUGUCAAAUCAAGUUAUCUUUUUUCUCACAUGUCUAAGAAAAUACAUACUUUCAUGUAGGACUAUAUAUUUUAGCAAGAGGAGCCUUACCUAGAAGACCGAGCUCUAUAUUAUUGAAACUUCAGUCCACUAUGGUCAGCAAGAAUGUAUACCAGUGGUAAACCAAAGCAGUGCAUUAUGAACAGUUCUGUGCAAAGGAUGGGGGUGGGAAGGCUUGUAUGGGGUAGAGUUGUUGCCAAAUCAGGGAAGUUCUUUGUUUCUUUUAUAAAGAGAAUGGUUCUGGUGUUGCUAGCACUGAGAAAAGUCAGAAAGGACGCGUGGAGACAGCCAGUAAAGUGUCUCCAGAAAAAGACUGCAGAAAGAGAUAGAAAUUGUGCACAAUUGAUAAAUAACUGUGGAUGUUAAAAGAAAGAUUCUACAUAAUAGCAAACUUCAUUCAACUGAAAACUUCAUUCACCUGCAGUUAGUCACAAAUGAUUUGGAUAAAAGGAGUGACCAUUUCAAAAGAAGAUAGCUUAUGGCAAGAAAAAGGUCAGAUGUGGGAAGAUCAGUUGAACAGGAGAAUCUAGCCCUGUUUGAAUAAAGCAGGCUAACAAUUGGUGGUCCUCUACCAAAUAUCACCCAACACUGUGGUUUGUUUAGUUAGCACAGGUUUCAAAAACUUGAAUGUAAAUGCUUUAGUGUGGCAUUAAUACUUCCAGCUUAUUAUGUCACUUUCUAUUAUCUAAUACUCAUCCCAUUUAUAUACUUACGAUACCUGCAUGGCUCCUGUGUGCAUUUGAACUCAUGACAUAGUUUUUUUUAUAUGUUUCAUGAGAGGAAGAGUGAGAUGCUUAUAUCAAAGCAUCAUUUUAAAAAAGCAUCAUUGAUAUGCUUUGUCGUUUGUUCUAUGUAAUUAUGUUUAACUCAUCCUAUUAAUAUUGAACAGUGUAUAUAUAGUUCCUAUUCCACAGGCAUUUUAAAUACAUGCUUCUGCUAUUUUAUAAAGUCUCCAGUUAAAAACUCUUCCAGAUAUUGAUUGUUAAAUAGAUUGAUGAUAGAGUAUACCUUAAUGAUCAUUGCAGUUGAGAUGCUUUCAAAUAAUCCUCAAUCACAAAUUGCCAUCUGAACUAUGAUUUGUGAAGGCUUCAUUAUACUGCAAAUAAUAACACCUGUGGUUCUUCUUUUCUCCAUUCCACCCCUCCCCCAUUCUUUUUGGAGUCCAGAUUUUGCCUUGAUUGUGAGAGAAAAGAGAAGAGAAGAGUACACUGUCAGGCAUAGGAGCAUAAUCUUUCCUCUAUUUUGCACUGGAAAAGAAUAGAUUUCCACGAUGGUCGCUGAGUAGAAAUGGAAAAAGCCAGUGGUUAAAUAUAUAAAUGCUGAGUAUUAUCCAGAAUUGAUAGAAGACACAGAACACCCAGAUUCAAGAAACAUAAUAAAACCUACAGUGAGAUAAAUAUAAAAUAAUGGACCUAUAGAAACAUGUUUAUGUAUAUCAAAAUCAAAGAGAUGUUUCAUGCAAGUAUUUAUUUUAAGAAGAGAAAGAAAAAUCAAAUCAUCUACAAAGGAACAAUAAGUGGAAUGACAUCUGAUUUUAACAGUAAAAUAUGUCACAAUAAGAGGAAUAAUGUGAUCAAAGUACUGAGAAUAAAAAUAACUUAGUCUUAAUCCUAUACCUAAUUGAACUUUUAAUAAAGAAAAUUUUCAACUUUUAAUGGUUGCGGGCUCUGCUUCUGGGCUCCCAGGGAAACUACACUUUUACUUUUGCCAAGGUCAGAAUGACUUAACCAAACUUCAAAGCAUGGGCUGUAUUUCUGCCUGGAGCAUACGCUUUACAUCUGUUUCAUUAGCAAAUAACCUAACAGAAACAUUUCAAACUAAAGAUAAGAGUAAAAACCUCCUAAAGUUCUCAUAUCUCUGAAGCCUGCAACCUUGUACCUACCAAAAGCAUAAGAUGAAGUUUGUAAUUUUCUGGAAUGUCUUAUGUCAUGAUGAUUUGUAAUUCUUGAUGUAACAGAAAACAUAUAUAACCCUCUAUUAAGCCUUCCUUCUCUGGAGCUGUCUCUUCUUUGUGAAGAUUAUGUAUCUGGAGCAGCUGUUCUACCUCAAGUUCAAAUGAAACUCUUGUCCUUUCUCUUUAAAAUUUCAAAAAAGGUUUGUUCAUUUUGCACCAACAGUUUCACUUAAUAAGAAUGAAAUAAAUAUAUUUUCAUAAAAAUGUGAAGAGAGUUUGUUUCUACUAGACUCUUCCUUUGCUGAAGGAUAUUUCAAGAUUGUACUUCAGGGAAAAGACAAAUCCAAAAGUUAGCACUGAGAGCAAGGAGUGGUAAACUAAAAAAUGGAUACACUUGUGGUUAUUUCUAACUAAAUAUUUUUGUAUAAAAAUAAUAUUUUUGUAUAACCUAUGGGAUAAAAACUAGAGAACUAAGUUAUUUGAAUAGUAAGACAAAUUUUGAAUUAAAGCCCCUGUAUUGCCAAGAAGAAAAUUGAGAUUUUCAUUAACUUUGAGCUUUAAGUAAAAUAUGUACAUAUUAAAUGUCAAGAAAUUGCUCAAAGAAAAGAAGUAACAUGUAGUAUUUCUAUUAUAGCAGUAAAAAAGAAGAGUGGUAAAAGAAUUUUAAAAUCCAAAAUCAACUAAGCAUAAAAAAGGAGCAUAUAUAGAAAGAAAACAUUAAAGUCAGCAGGAAUAUAAACCACUUAUAAGCUUAAAUGUACCUAAUAUAGUCUCGAAAUAUAGAAAGUAAAAAUUGACUGAACCAUUGUGUUGAUAAACCCACCAAAGGUAAAAGGUUUUUAAAAGAAAGUUCUCAGUACCUGAUAGAUUAAUAAGGUAAUAAUAAAUAAAGAUAUAAUAGAUUUGUACUUUGUUUUUUUUGCUUUGUCCUCCAAUAAUAACUUAUCGAGAGGUAAAUUAUUCCUUCUUAUUAGGGAGAACUUCCUUCAGUCUCUACCCAAAUUGCACUUCCUCAAAUUUCUAGUCUUCUUUCCCUAUUCCCAUCAUUCUUUAUUCUCUAUCCUAGGUUAAUUUGUUUUCAUAGCUUUUUUAUUAAAUGACCAUAUGCCAGUAUUUAUUUGUAUAUGCACUUUCCCCUUUCUCCUUAUGUCCCACAUGCCUAUAACACAGCCUGGUACAUUUUAGGUAUUUAAUAAAUAUUUGUUGAAUAAACAGACUUGAGGGCUUGGCAAUGUUGUUCCCUUUGUGGAUGAGCUCUUCCCUUCCUCUUCCUUUUCCUGGCAAACACCUACUUGUCUUUUUAGCAUUUGGUUUUCAGAUUCCUAAAAAAAUCUUUUCUUGCUUCUCCAGCCUAUGUUAGAUCCCUGUGUUUUAUGCUUCUAUAGCACUUUAUAAUUCCUUUUGUAAAUUCACUCAAUCAAUCAUUCAACAAUUAUUUGAGUGCCUAGUUCUAAUCCCUGUUUUAGACCCUAAGGAUGCAGUAGUGAACACAACAGACAUGAUCUCCAUUCUUGUGAAGUUUGUAUCUAGUGUGGUGGGAUUGGAGGGCAGACAAGAAGUAAACAAGUACAUAGUACUUCAUACAAUUAAACUCAGUGUGAGGAAACAUGAACCAGGAUUAGGGAGAUGAGAGAGCCAAGAAAAUAGUAGAUGGGGCUCCUUUAUAUGGAGGUCCAGGUAAGUCCUCAUGCAUUAGAUGUUUUAGAGGAGAAUCUAUAAGUAAAUGAGGGGUUGGCCCUGAGCUGAGCACAACUGGGAAAAGCGAUCAGGUCAGAGGAAACAGCAAGUGUGAACACCUUGAAGCAAUAAUGUUCUGAAAGUUUUCUCGGAACAGCAAGGUGCCCAGUGUGGCUGGAGCGGAGAGAACAAGGGAAGGGGUAGUAAGGGAGAAGUCGGAGAGAGACUUUUUUUGGGAUUUCUUUUGACGAGUGAUGUCAUUUUAGUUUAUACAGUUGUCACACAGAUGGGUAGGGGGAAGGGGCAGAUGGUCAUAGGAGUACAGGAUUCUGAAGGUGUAGCCUCAAGAACAGCCACAAGGUGAUGCUGGGCUGCCCAGGCAGCUCUGGGAUGUUCUGGUCUGGGAGCUGGGAGUCAUAGUGAUUCUAGGGGGCUCCCUCCUCACAGGGCAGAUGGGGUCGGAAACCCCCUUCCCAGAGGGGUUUCUCUGCAGUCCAAGGAUCCCAGACCCCGGGUCCAGGGUGUGUCCUCGGUGGUGCCCAUCUGUUCUGGGUGCAGGUCCAUGGUCACAGCCCAGGGACUGUGUACAGCCCAGCCAACUCAGCAGAAGGUCACCUCACUCCUUUCUGUGCUGCUGCAGGGUUAGAGCAGGGAGGCCCCAAGCAGUCAGGUCACCAUGUGAAAGCUGUAUAGCUGGACAUUGUAACUGAGGCUGCUGAGGGCGAUCUCUGCUACCUCCUGGAAGAUCACAUGGAUGUUUUUUGUGGAGCUGAACUGAUCACUCAAGGUAGGCCACUGCUCUUAGCUAAAGAUUGAAUGAGGCUAAAACUUGCUACUUUAAAGACUUUGGCUUUCACUCUGAGACACUAAAGCCACAGGAGAGAUUUUAGUUUCAACAGGCUCUCUUAUAGGAGGUAGAGUUAGAGGGGAAAUUAGUUAGAAAGUAAUUAAAAGAAACCAGAUCAGACGAUGGUGGGGAUCUGGGUAGUAGCAGGAAAGGUAGUGAUAAGUGGUCAAAUUAUGGAUACAUUUGGAAGACUUAGCCAGCAGGAUUAAAUGAGAGAUUGAAUAUAGGAUGUUAAAGAAACAAAGCAGCCUAUGAUGAAUCAAGGGUCUGGCCUGAGUAUGGGAAGACUAUAGAGGAGCAUAGGGAGAGGGUCUGUGACUAGGGGGAAUACAGAUUUUGGACAUGUUGAGAUAUGGGACACCCAAAUAGAGAUUUUGAAUUGGAACCUGUAUAUAGAAUUCUGGAACCAAAGGGAAAAUCCCAGAAUAGAGAUACAAAUAGGGGAAUUAUCAAUAUAUAGAUGAUAUUUAAAGCCAUCUGCAGGAUGAAAACAACAACAACAACAAACAAACGGAAGUUGGAUGACUCAGCUCUGGGUAAUUCCAGCAUUUAAGUUUUGAGAGAAUGAGGAAGCACUAGGCAGGGAGGAAAACCAAAAGAGCAGUGAUGAGAAGCCACGUAAAUGAGUAUUUUAAGAAGAUGGGAAGGAUUAGCUGCGUGGCACGCUAAUAGGCGAGGCAAGGUGUCAUCUGGGAAUUGAUCAGAUGUGUAUUCCCAUCUGGGAAUACAAUUGUGUAGCCCUCUGGAGGUCAUUGGGGGUCCUAACAUAUUUGAAAUAGCCGAUAAAAGCUUCAUUGGAAUAGGCUCAACAGGGGAUGGAAAACAGAUAUGGGGACAGUAUGAACAAAUUUUUUGAGAAUUUUUGCUUUCAAAGGCAGCAGAGAAAUAAUAUAAUAGCUGGAGGGAGAUAGAAUAAUUCACCUGCUUGAUACUCCUGUGUCCGUAAACAUGGUAAGACUCACAUGCUGUGGUAACAGCUAUGUCUAUCCUGUUGACUGCUUUUUGCCUCGUACAAUGCUUGACCAAAAGUAGAUGUGCGAUUAAAUACUUCUUGGACAAAUAAGUAUAUGCAAUUUCUGUUAAAAUUAAAAUCUAAAAUUUGUUAUGGUUUGAAAAUAUUUUCAAUAGAUGUUGCUUUUUCUUUUAUGCCAGAGCAAGAAUAUGCAUUUUGACUUUGGUAAAAAAAAAAAAAUGAUUACAGAUAUGA